Molecule: ribosomal RNA, 253 nt
Filed under: uncultured bacterium
Lineage: Bacteria
Description: partial 16S ribosomal RNA
Rfam family: Bacterial small subunit ribosomal RNA
Source: RNAcentral
UACGUAGGGCGCAAGCGUUGUCCGGAAUUAUUGGGCGUAAAGAGCUCGUAGGCGGCUUGUCACGUCGGGUGUGAAAGCCCGGGGCUUAACCCCGGGUCUGCAUUCGAUACGGGCUAGCUAGAGUGUGGUAGGGGAGAUCGGAAUUCCUGGUGUAGCGGUGAAAUGCGCAGAUAUCAGGAGGAACACCGGUGGCGAAGGCGGCGUCCUGGACCAACACUGACACUGAUGAGCGAAAGCCAGGGGAGCAAACGGG